Molecule: non-coding RNA, 46 nt
Filed under: Schistosoma bovis
Lineage: Eukaryota; Metazoa; Platyhelminthes; Trematoda; Strigeidida; Schistosomatidae
Also listed under: 1 other name
Source: RNAcentral
AUCCAGCUGACGAGUCCCGAAAUAGGACGAAACGAUCAUGCUGGAC